Non-coding RNA from Coturnix japonica (Japanese quail), 1989 nucleotides. Lineage: Eukaryota; Metazoa; Chordata; Aves; Galliformes; Phasianidae. The record is from RefSeq and is a predicted model, not a curated record.
GUCACAGUGGAUCCACGAUCUGUGCUGCCAUUGGAAACAUCAUAUGCUACGUGGCUUUUCUCUUCUGGAAGUUGGAUGAGGCUGUAAGACUUUAUUUUGUAGGAGGUACUCAGGAUGAGUUGUGUGGCCACAUCAUGCUUCACAUAGAAGACAGCUAACGAGAUACAGAAAUCCCCAAAUCUGAACCAUCUCUAAUCUGGCAAAGGAUCCCCGUCCAGCUGACACUGAAUGCCUGCAGAACGUUACAAACAGCAUCUUUAAGAAAGGGUAUUUAAAUUUCCUUCUUCCUGGGUGUCAGCCUCAUCAGAAGAAAAACGAAAUUUUCUUCUUGACAUCUAGUAUCUAGCUGAAGAAAUGAAGAAUAAUGUCAGCAUUGUGCAGCUUUCAACUCUAUUGGCUUCAAAGGGAUAUGUUCUGCUUUCAGGUGAGAAUGGCUCCAGCCUGUGACUUGCUCUGGGACAACAGUUGCCAAAGGCUUCCAGUGGAUCUGCGGAAGUGAAAAAGGCUGUUUUUCUCUUGGUGUAGCAAGUGAUGAGCACAUUUACGUCUUAAGGAGAAAGAGCAGAACCCCGCUGGUCCCCCACAGAAUUCUUUUCAAACUCAAUGAAGAACUCCUUCCAACCCUGGUGCAUUUUAUGUCCUGCCCUGGGAGAGUUCAUGGGUUGUCCAGAAUCACUCAUACGUAGCCUUUGAGGAAAACAGAUAGCAAGACAGUUCCAGUGCAUCUUGCAUCAGUGCUGUUUCCCUGGCCUCUCUAACAGCAAUGUUGACCUAAGCCUUAUGGGUGAGAUGCAAGCAAACUCGAGCUGCCAGGAUAGAAGCCACUUCAGAUGUCAUGCCAGUGGUUUCAUUUGCACAACUGCAAUACCAAAGAGUAUUGCUCCUCUUACAGGCAGCAAAUGAGAUGGGCCUCAAGUUCAAGCCAUGUGGCAAAUAUAAAUAAACUGAAAAAUGUUAUUUCUAUCUGUAUUCAUUAUAUAAUUUUGAACAAAGAAAUACUCUUUGUGCCUGACAUGCUGGCAGUGCUGGCAAUAAGCUGUGAUUACUGCAGUAAAUAGCACCAUCUAGGGAUCAGGAUGCUUUUUAAGUUGUCUUUCUGAACUGUGUGUGGUAAGAGUGGCUUCAGUGUCAGCUCUAAGAUGGGCACAUGUUGUGCCACACAUUUUUGUGUUUACACAUGUACAUAGAAACUGAAGGAAACAUUAUAUAUGUCCCCCUUGGCAGUGCAAAGCCUAAAUGAAUGUGUGAAUGAACUUCAUUUGUACUUAAAAACACAAAGCUUGUAGGUAUAUGCUACAAGGUAGGUAUGAUUCUCCUCCAGCUUCUGUUAGACUAGUUCAGCUUGUCUACUUAUGCCCAUGAAUACAUCAGAUUUAAGGAGAAACCUUGCACAUGCAGAUUAAAGUAACCAUGAGAACUUGCCAUAUUCACCCUGUAUGAAUUUAUAGACUAAACUGAGAAGGACUCAUAAACUGCAAGUAUUUUAUCCAUGAAGCAGCUGCCCCGCAGACCUACCUGGCUGUGAUGGAGCUAUUUGCACUGGUGGUAAGCAAGUCAUGAUCCUGUACUAAAUGAUGCUUCAAGAGACCUUUCUGCUGCUGAGUUCCAGGGUUUCCAAGGGCACAGUCAUUUAAAUAAAAGAAAGUUCUGCUUCAGUUUUUGGAGAUCAGCAGCUUGACUGUUCUCACUGCCUGCCAGCCGACUGGUUGCUUACUGUCUUUAGGUGAGUUAAUGUUCACCUGUUUGCUUAGAACAAGCUUGUCUCCAAGCCUUGUAUCAAAUCUUGUCUAACAAGCACUGUCUAAUUUGACAAAACAAAUACAGCCAAACUUUUUAUGAGUUCGAUUGCAGUGUUGCCUCCUGAGGUUACCAGCCUCUUUACUCAAGGGUAAAACAGUAAUUAGAGAAUUGCUGGGAAAAAAUAAAAAAUAAAAAAAAACCUUACCUUCCUUGGAUAUUCUUAUAAGUGUAAGGAACUCUGAGCACUGA